This 659-nucleotide ribosomal RNA is filed under the name uncultured bacterium. Its description in RNAcentral is "bacterial SSU rRNA". It matches the Rfam family "Bacterial small subunit ribosomal RNA", at positions 94 to 788 of the family's 1533-position model. The record is from RNAcentral.
AGUGGCGGACGGGUGAGUAACGCGUGAGAAUCUGCCUCUAGGUUGGGGACAACAGUUGGAAACGACUGCUAAUACCCAAUGUGCCGUAAGGUGAAAGAUUUAUUGCCUGGAGAGGAGCUCGCGUCUGAUUAGCUAGUUGGUGAGGUAAAGGCUUACCAAGGCAUCGAUCAGUAGCUGGUCUGAGAGGAUGAGCAGCCACACUGGGACUGAGACGGCCCAGACUCCUACGGGAGGCAGCAGUGGGGAAUUUUCCGCAAUGGGCGAAAGCCUGACGGAGCAAUACCGCGUGAGGGAGGAAGGCCUUUGGGUUGUAAACCUCUUUUCUCAGGGAAGAAGAUCUGACGGUACCUGAGGAAUAAGCAUCGGCUAACUCCGUGCCAGCAGCCGCGGUAAUACGGAGGAUGCAAGCGUUAUCCGGAAUCAUUGGGCGUAAAGCGUCCGCAGGUGGUUUUUCAAGUCUGCUGUUAAAGACUGGAGCUCAACUCCGGAAAGGCAGUGGAAACUGAGAAACUAGAGUUCGGUAGGGGUAGCGGGAAUUCCCAGUGUAGCGGUGAAAUGCGUAGAUAUUGGGAAGAACAUCGGUGGCGAAGGCGCGCUACUGGACCGAAAACUGACACUCAGGGACGAAAGCUAGGGUAGCGAAAGGGAUUAGAUACCCC